RNAcentral lists this ribosomal RNA (2930 nucleotides) under Escherichia coli. RNAcentral describes it as "23S ribosomal RNA". It matches the Rfam family "Bacterial large subunit ribosomal RNA". The record is from RNAcentral. Lineage: Bacteria; Pseudomonadati; Pseudomonadota; Gammaproteobacteria; Enterobacterales; Enterobacteriaceae.
GGGUUGUGAGGUUAAGCGACUAAGCGUACACGGUGGAUGCCCUGGCAGUCAGAGGCGAUGAAGGACGUGCUAAUCUGCGAUAAGCGUCGGUAAGGUGAUAUGAACCGUUAUAACCGGCGAUUUCCGAAUGGGGAAACCCAGUGUGUUUCGACACACUAUCAUUAACUGAAUCCAUAGGUUAAUGAGGCGAACCGGGGGAACUGAAACAUCUAAGUACCCCGAGGAAAAGAAAUCAACCGAGAUUCCCCCAGUAGCGGCGAGCGAACGGGGAGCAGCCCAGAGCCUGAAUCAGUGUGUGUGUUAGUGGAAGCGUCUGGAAAGGCGCGCGAUACAGGGUGACAGCCCCGUACACAAAAAUGCACAUGCUGUGAGCUCGAUGAGUAGGGCGGGACACGUGGUAUCCUGUCUGAAUAUGGGGGGACCAUCCUCCAAGGCUAAAUACUCCUGACUGACCGAUAGUGAACCAGUACCGUGAGGGAAAGGCGAAAAGAACCCCGGCGAGGGGAGUGAAAAAGAACCUGAAACCGUGUACGUACAAGCAGUGGGAGCACGCUUAGGCGUGUGACUGCGUACCUUUUGUAUAAUGGGUCAGCGACUUAUAUUCUGUAGCAAGGUUAACCGAAUAGGGGAGCCGAAGGGAAACCGAGUCUUAACUGGGCGUUAAGUUGCAGGGUAUAGACCCGAAACCCGGUGAUCUAGCCAUGGGCAGGUUGAAGGUUGGGUAACACUAACUGGAGGACCGAACCGACUAAUGUUGAAAAAUUAGCGGAUGACUUGUGGCUGGGGGUGAAAGGCCAAUCAAACCGGGAGAUAGCUGGUUCUCCCCGAAAGCUAUUUAGGUAGCGCCUCGUGAAUUCAUCUCCGGGGGUAGAGCACUGUUUCGGCAAGGGGGUCAUCCCGACUUACCAACCCGAUGCAAACUGCGAAUACCGGAGAAUGUUAUCACGGGAGACACACGGCGGGUGCUAACGUCCGUCGUGAAGAGGGAAACAACCCAGACCGCCAGCUAAGGUCCCAAAGUCAUGGUUAAGUGGGAAACGAUGUGGGAAGGCCCAGACAGCCAGGAUGUUGGCUUAGAAGCAGCCAUCAUUUAAAGAAAGCGUAAUAGCUCACUGGUCGAGUCGGCCUGCGCGGAAGAUGUAACGGGGCUAAACCAUGCACCGAAGCUGCGGCAGCGACACUAUGUGUUGUUGGGUAGGGGAGCGUUCUGUAAGCCUGUGAAGGUGUGCUGUGAGGCAUGCUGGAGGUAUCAGAAGUGCGAAUGCUGACAUAAGUAACGAUAAAGCGGGUGAAAAGCCCGCUCGCCGGAAGACCAAGGGUUCCUGUCCAACGUUAAUCGGGGCAGGGUGAGUCGACCCCUAAGGCGAGGCCGAAAGGCGUAGUCGAUGGGAAACAGGUUAAUAUUCCUGUACUUGGUGUUACUGCGAAGGGGGGACGGAGAAGGCUAUGUUGGCCGGGCGACGGUUGUCCCGGUUUAAGCGUGUAGGCUGGUUUUCCAGGCAAAUCCGGAAAAUCAAGGCUGAGGCGUGAUGACGAGGCACUACGGUGCUGAAGCAACAAAUGCCCUGCUUCCAGGAAAAGCCUCUAAGCAUCAGGUAACAUCAAAUCGUACCCCAAACCGACACAGGUGGUCAGGUAGAGAAUACCAAGGCGCUUGAGAGAACUCGGGUGAAGGAACUAGGCAAAAUGGUGCCGUAACUUCGGGAGAAGGCACGCUGAUAUGUAGGUGAAGUCCCUCGCGGAUGGAGCUGAAAUCAGUCGAAGAUACCAGCUGGCUGCAACUGUUUAUUAAAAACACAGCACUGUGCAAACACGAAAGUGGACGUAUACGGUGUGACGCCUGCCCGGUGCCGGAAGGUUAAUUGAUGGGGUCAGCGCAAGCGAAGCUCUUGAUCGAAGCCCCGGUAAACGGCGGCCGUAACUAUAACGGUCCUAAGGUAGCGAAAUUCCUUGUCGGGUAAGUUCCGACCUGCACGAAUGGCGUAAUGAUGGCCAGGCUGUCUCCACCCGAGACUCAGUGAAAUUGAACUCGCUGUGAAGAUGCAGUGUACCCGCGGCAAGACGGAAAGACCCCGUGAACCUUUACUAUAGCUUGACACUGAACAUUGAGCCUUGAUGUGUAGGAUAGGUGGGAGGCUUUGAAGUGUGGACGCCAGUCUGCAUGGAGCCGACCUUGAAAUACCACCCUUUAAUGUUUGAUGUUCUAACGUUGACCCGUAAUCCGGGUUGCGGACAGUGUCUGGUGGGUAGUUUGACUGGGGCGGUCUCCUCCUAAAGAGUAACGGAGGAGCACGAAGGUUGGCUAAUCCUGGUCGGACAUCAGGAGGUUAGUGCAAUGGCAUAAGCCAGCUUGACUGCGAGCGUGACGGCGCGAGCAGGUGCGAAAGCAGGUCAUAGUGAUCCGGUGGUUCUGAAUGGAAGGGCCAUCGCUCAACGGAUAAAAGGUACUCCGGGGAUAACAGGCUGAUACCGCCCAAGAGUUCAUAUCGACGGCGGUGUUUGGCACCUCGAUGUCGGCUCAUCACAUCCUGGGGCUGAAGUAGGUCCCAAGGGUAUGGCUGUUCGCCAUUUAAAGUGGUACGCGAGCUGGGUUUAGAACGUCGUGAGACAGUUCGGUCCCUAUCUGCCGUGGGCGCUGGAGAACUGAGGGGGGCUGCUCCUAGUACGAGAGGACCGGAGUGGACGCAUCACUGGUGUUCGGGUUGUCAUGCCAAUGGCACUGCCCGGUAGCUAAAUGCGGAAGAGAUAAGUGCUGAAAGCAUCUAAGCACGAAACUUGCCCCGAGAUGAGUUCUCCCUGACUCCUUGAGAGUCCUGAAGGAACGUUGAAGACGACGACGUUGAUAGGCCGGGUGUGUAAGCGCAGCGAUGCGUUGAGCUAACCGGUACUAAUGAACCGUGAGGCUUAACCUUACAACGCCGAAGGUGUUU